This 88-nucleotide transfer RNA is filed under the name Flavobacteriales bacterium. Its description in RNAcentral is "tRNA-Leu". It matches the Rfam family "tRNA". From Rfam's summary of the family: Transfer RNA (tRNA) molecules are approximately 80 nucleotides in length. Lineage: Bacteria; Pseudomonadati; Bacteroidota; Flavobacteriia; Flavobacteriales. The record is from RNAcentral.
GCCCGGGUGGUGAAAUGGUAGACACGAGGGACUUAAAAUCCCUUGGUCCGCAAGGGCCGUGUGGGUUCGAGUCCCACCCCGGGCACCA